AUUGAACGCUGGCGGCAUGCCUUACACAUGCAAGUCGAACGGCAGCACGGGAGCAAUCCUGGUGGCGAGUGGCGAACGGGUGAGUAAUAUAUCGGAACGUGCCCAGUCGUGGGGGAUAACGCAGCGAAAGCUGUGCUAAUACCGCAUACGAUCUCUGGAUGAAAGCGGGGGACCGUAAGGCCUCGCGCGAUUGGAGCGGCCGAGAUCAGAUUAGCUAGUUGGUGGGGUAAAGGCCCACCAAGGCGACGAUCUGUAGCUGGUCUGAGAGGACGACCAGCCACACUGGAACUGAGACACGGUCCAGACUCCUACGGGAGGCAGCAGUGGGGAAUUUUGGACAAUGGGCGCAAGCCUGAUCCAGCAAUGCCGCGUGCAGGAUGAAGGCCUUCGGGUUGUAAACUGCCUUUGUACGGAACGAAACGGCGAGCUCUAAUAAAGUUUGCUAAUGACGGUACCGUAAGAAUAAGCACCGGCUAACUACGUGCCAGCCGCCGCAGUAA
Molecule: ribosomal RNA, 500 nt
Filed under: uncultured bacterium
Lineage: Bacteria
Description: partial 16S ribosomal RNA
Rfam family: Bacterial small subunit ribosomal RNA
Source: RNAcentral